RNAcentral lists this unclassified non-coding RNA (1411 nucleotides) under Hevea brasiliensis (rubber tree). The record is from RNAcentral. Lineage: Eukaryota; Viridiplantae; Streptophyta; Magnoliopsida; Malpighiales; Euphorbiaceae.
GGAUUUGAUUUUAUAGAACAAGGCAUUCCCUUUCAGUUAAGAACAUCUAGCCACCUUUCUUUACAUUAACAUUAUUCUGAUAAAGAAAAAAGAUAGAAAGAAUCAUAAUUAAAGAGAACAAAAUUUGCAAUUUCACAGCAACUGAACUUACACCUCAAUGGGCAACCAGGAAAUUUAUAAAAUCAAAUCCCUAAUUCACAAGGAUGGUGUGCUGCUUUGGUAUACCGCUCGCUAGAGUUCCAAGUUACCAGAGUAGCCAGCAAGAAGAAGCCUUGAAAUUUUAAACUUUUAGUAAUAGCCGCCAUUCAAAUUACCUCUUCCCAUUAUCAGGGAUCUCCGGCACCUUAUAUGUAUCAACAGUAACCUCUGUCAACCACAAUCCAGGAAAGAGCAUAUCCAACUGCUUCUGCACGUUCCUGGGUCGCUUCUUGGGUCUCCGAGCUGGUCUGUGGCCUAUCAUCUCCUUAAAAUCCUCAUCGAUCUCCUUCCUCGAGAGCGCCAACGCAAACUUCGUUCUCAUCUGCGCUGUCUCCUUUUCCUUCUCAUCCUCUCUUUCCUUUUUCUCUCCUCUCAGCCUUGGAGAUUUCCCGCUCUCACUCCUCAACGGCGAAAAAUUACUUACAUUCCUCUCCUCAAUUUUCAAGCCCUUCCCUGUAACUAAAUUCCCGGCAAUCGGAGCUUUACAGGCUGCUCUCCUUGUUCGCAGAUUCCACGGUCUAACCUCUUGCUCUGUCUCCGCUACAACCGCCGCCGGUGGAACAGGAGAGGCAGAUUGUUCCUUCUCAUCCUCAUCCUCAUCCUCCAUCUUCUCAUGCGGCGGAACCCCCCGCACUUCGUCGCCUUCAUCUGACACUCCUUUCUUCAAAAUUGCAUCUUUCAUCUUAUCUGCCGCCGUUUUGAAAUCGAACAUCAGCUUCUCUCUCACUUCAGCGAUCCCUCCCGCGUCACCGCCGCCGUCGUUUCUCUGUUUUAGUUUCUUGAAUGAGCGGAUUUCGUAAUCCGUAGUGGCGACAAAUUUAGACGGUGGAGAUCGGCCACUGCGAAGGCGAUCGGUGGAAAUUCCAUUGCUGAUGUUCUUAUCCUUGGAAGCACCGGAAUCUGAGACUUUCAUGCAACGGAGGUGUCUCUGAAUCCCCCACUUCAAGCAAGGCAGAUUAAAAUUGUGAAGCGGUGGCUUCGAUCUCUCUGUUCCCAUAGCCAUAACCAACCCACUCACUCUCUCUCCCGUUUCUCCAGAACACACCAUUGAAAUCUCACAACACACGCGUACUCUCCAAUGAGAGCUCAGAUCACAAGCUCACUCCCUCUAUAUAAUCUGCCGCGGCUGUUUGUUUCUCACGAUUUUAAACUUUCUUGGGAAAAUAUUAUUCAGAAGUUUUGUUUGUGAUUUUGAGUGUUUGUGUUGUUUUGG